Molecule: long non-coding RNA, 1839 nt
Filed under: Gallus gallus (chicken)
Lineage: Eukaryota; Metazoa; Chordata; Aves; Galliformes; Phasianidae
Description: lncRNA (ENSGALG00010007346.1)
Source: RNAcentral
ACUUGACAGGAGCUUAUAUGCGGGAGGAAGACUGACUUUUCACAUGGGAGGAUAGUGAUAGAACAAGAGGAAAUGGCUUUAAACUAAAAAAGGAGAAAUUUAGGUUAACUGUCAGAAGAAAUUCUUUACUCAGAGUGUGGUGAGGCACUGGCACAGCUGAACAGAAAGCUGUGGUGCCCCAUCCCUGAAGGCAUUCAGUGCCAGGUUGGAUGGGGCCCUGGGCAGCCUCAGCUGCUGGGUGGCAAUCAGCCCAUGGUGGGGGGUUGGAACUGGAUGGGCUUUAAGGUUUCUUCUAACCCAAACCAUUCUGUGAUUCUGCAAUUCUAUAGAAGAACUGAGGGAACAGACAGACUUGUCUUGAAAUUGUCAGCUGCAGGCCACCCCUGAGAAAUGGAUAGAACAGAACAGGAUGGAAUAGUUCAUCUGGAAGGGACCUUCAAACAUCAUCUAGUCCAACUGCCUGCCCACUUCAGGGCUAACUAAAAUUUCAUGCAUAUUGCCAAGGGCAUUGCCCAAACACCUGUUGAACACCAACAGGCAAGGGGCAUCAAAAAUCUCUCUGGGGAGCAUGUUCCAGUGCUUGACCAUCCUCACAGCAGUGAUUUUUUCCUACUGCCCUGUCUGAACCUGCCCUGGUGUGGCUCUGUGCUCUCAGGAACAAAGCCUUACACCUCCCUCUGCUUCCCCUGCUCAGGGGGCUGCAGGGAGCAGUGAGAUCACUGCUUGGCCUCCUCUUCUCCAGACUGGACACCCAUGUGUCCUCAGCCUUUCCUCAAAGGACAUGCCUCCAGCCCUGUUACCCAUUGUGUUGCCCUCCUCUGGAUACAUUUGAGCACCUCAACAUCCUUUUUAUAUUGUGGAGGCCAGUACCGCACACAGUACUCAAGGCGAGACCACACCAGCACUAAAUGUAGCAGGAGAAUCACCUCUUCUGACCAGCUGGCCAUGUUGUGUGUAAUGACCCCCAGAAGGUGGUUUGCCCUUUGGCUGCCAGGACACACUGCUGGCUUGUGCUGAACUGCUGUCACCAGCCCCCCCAGAUCCCUUCCUGCUGAGUUGCUCCCCACCCACUCUGCUCCAGUCUGCCAGUGUCCAACAUUACCCAUCCUGGACGCAGCACACAGCAUUUUCCUUUGUUGAACUUGCUGCCAUUGCUGAUUGCCCAAUGGCCCCAGUCUAUCCAGAUCCCUCUACAAGGCCUCUUGUCCCUCCUUCAUUCCUUCAUUUCUAUCAUUGUUUUCCUCAGCUGCCAGGAGAAACACUGAUGACUUUCUAAUUGUCCAUCUGGAAGGGUAGUGGCAUAACAAGAGGCUCACAGCCACCAGUGGGGUCAGUGCAAGCAGUACACAGGGCAAGAAUUGCCUCACAUACAGCCUUAGACAUCAAGCACUGGGCCUCUCUCCUAGCUUCUAACAAUUACAGCUCUGUUCUCUAAGGGGUCUAUCUCUCAUGGGGGAAUGGGGUGGAUUGUGCUUUCUGAGCCUUUUCUGGGGCAUCCAGUGAAGGAUGUGAUUUGAAGAUAGAUUUGUACUGUAAGGCAUAGAGACCCUAAGGUGUUAGCUCUAUAGAAAAGCUAUAAGAAAACAUUCAACAAAUCUAUGCUCUCUGAAAAUUUAGGUAAUGUUGACUAAAUAGGGCCUGCAGCCUUAUUAAAUUAACAAAUAGCCUAAUUAAGGCCUUCUCAUAACUGAGAAGUAACACAGAGGUACUGGAAAGUUUCUUAUUUGACAAAGUUUGCAGUGUCAGAAUGCUUCAAUUGGUCUUUAUUUUUUUGUUCUUUGCUGUUACAUAGAAUAAAUAUAACUUCCAUUUAAGUAUAUAUGCAAUAUUCAUUGUAUG